Molecule: ribosomal RNA, 301 nt
Filed under: uncultured bacterium
Lineage: Bacteria
Description: partial 16S ribosomal RNA
Rfam family: Bacterial small subunit ribosomal RNA
Source: RNAcentral
CAGCAGCCGCGGGAAUACGUAGGGUGCAAGCGUUAAUCGGAAUUACUGGGCGUAAAGCGUGCGCAGGCGGUUUCGUAAGACAGAUGUGAAAUCCCCGGGCUUAACCUGGGAACUGCAUUUGUGACUGCGAGGCUAGAGUGUGUCAGAGGGGGGUGGAAUUCCACGUGUAGCAGUGAAAUGCGUAGAUAUGUGGAGGAACACCGAUGGCGAAGGCAGCCCCCUGGGAUAACACUGACGCUCAUGCACGAAAGCGUGGGGAGCAAACAGGAUUAGAUACCCCGGUAGUCCCUGUCUCUUAUAC